Non-coding RNA from Cinara cedri, 334 nucleotides. The record is from the annotation of a GenBank genome assembly. Lineage: Eukaryota; Metazoa; Arthropoda; Insecta; Hemiptera; Aphididae.
GUAAAUUAUUUCUCUAAACCCAUAACCUAUAUAACCUUUAAAUACCUUUAAAUAAAAAACCUUACGUAUUUUCUUGGGUAAAUUACCAUUAUUAUUAUUUCCAGAUUGUUUUGGUAUUCAAACACCCUCUCCCCGCCUUGGUAAUAUAUAUGCUAAAAAUUAUAAUUUGUAUUAUGUGCAGUUGUCCAUUAAAUUUCUACAGAUAAUAUGUUGUAUUACGUAUAGAUAAAUAUUAAACAUAAUAUGUAUAUUAUCUGUUAUAUUCGCACGGUAAAAUUACAAAGUUACAUCAAAAUACAAAAUAAAAUUCCCCCCUAAAAAAAUUACGUCACUG